CAGGAUGAACGCUAGCGACAGGCUUAACACAUGCAAGUCGAGGGGCAGCAUAAAAGUAGCAAUACUUGGUGGCGACCGGCGCACGGGUGAGUAACGCGUAUGCAACCUACCUAUCAGAGGGGAAUAACCCGGCGAAAGUCGGACUAAUACCGCAUAAAACGGGGGCACCGCAUGGUGAUAUUUGUUAAAGAAAUUCGCUGAUAGAUGGGCAUGCGUUCCAUUAGGUAGUUGGUGAGGUAACGGCUCACCAAGCCGACGAUGGAUAGGGGAACUGAGAGGUUGGUCCCCACACUGGUACUGAGACACGGACCAGACUCCUACGGGAGGCAGCAGUGAGGAAUAUUGGUCAAUGGGCGGGAGCCUGAACCAGUCAAGUCGCGUGAAGGAAAGAAGGAUCUAUGGUUCGUAAACUUCUUUUGCAGGAGAAUAAAGUGCAGGACGUGUCCUGUUUUGUAUGUACCCUGAGAAUAAGGAUCGGCUAACUCCGUGCCAGCAGCCGC
RNAcentral lists this ribosomal RNA (500 nucleotides) under uncultured bacterium. RNAcentral describes it as "bacterial SSU rRNA". It matches the Rfam family "Bacterial small subunit ribosomal RNA", at positions 25 to 518 of the family's 1533-position model. The record is from RNAcentral.